ACUUUUAACAAUGGAUCUCUAGGCUCUCAUAUCGAUGAAAAACACAGUGAAAUGUGAUAAGUAAUGUGAAUUGCAGAAUUCAGUGAAUCAUUGAAUCUUUGAACGCACCUUGCGCCUUUUGGUAUUCCAAAAGGUACACCUGUUUGAGUGUCAU
Molecule: ribosomal RNA, 154 nt
Filed under: Puccinia tatarinovii
Lineage: Eukaryota; Fungi; Basidiomycota; Pucciniomycetes; Pucciniales; Pucciniaceae
Description: 5.8S ribosomal RNA
Rfam family: 5.8S ribosomal RNA
About the family: 5.8S ribosomal RNA (5.8S rRNA) is a component of the large subunit of the eukaryotic ribosome. It is transcribed by RNA polymerase I as part of the 45S precursor that also contains 18S and 28S rRNA. Functionally, it is thought that 5.8S rRNA may be involved in ribosome translocation.
Source: RNAcentral